UUUUGGUCGGCGAGGAGGAGGAAGUCGAUAGUCUGGCCGGGGGAGAUGGCGAUGUAAUCGGAGGUGAAGGGCUUCAGGUACGCGCCGUCGGAGCCGACGAUGGUGACGUUGUGGCCGCCGAUUUUGAAGAACAUGAUGGUGUUCAUCACGGCGUUAACCAUUCGAAUUAGGUAUCUCUUGCCGUGGUCGACGGUGAGCUUGAACGUAUCUGCAUGAAUUCCAAGGAGGGAAGAUAAUUAAAAUGAUUUUAAAUUAAAUUCUCAAUUUUAUAAUUUAAUGAAAUAUGGUUUCUAACUAAAAUUAAUGAAAGAUAUUUUUUUUCUUCGCGAGAAAUGUUCUAUAUGUAGACAUGCACAAAACUUCAAUAUAUGGUACAUUUUCUAUUUUCAUUUUUCACAACAUUUUGAAUUAAUUAAAUAGCAAUUAUGUUAUUAUUAUAAAUUAGAUCGUAUCCAAAUAAAUAUUCCCUCCAUCCCAUAGUGUAGUCCCCCAUAGUUUUUGGGCACGAAAAUUAAGAAAUGUGUAAAAAAUAGAUACAGUGAGUUGAUGGAAAUUAUUUAAAUAUUAUAUAUAGAGCAAAAAUAUAUUGUCAAAAAAGGAAUGAGACAUUUGUAUUAGCACGUCCCAAAAAGGAAAGUGGGACAUUACUAUUGGGACGGAAGGAGUACAACUUAACAUCCACACAAAAUAUAACCACAAGUUGUCGAUAGGACUUGAACCAGAGUAUUUUUGGUGCCUCAACUUUGUCACUUUGGGCUAAGCCUCUUCGACCACAACGUGACAGAUUAAUUUCAUAAAAUAUAUACAUUUUUUCUUCUUCCUAUGUGACAAAUGAGGUAGUCUUUUUCCUCACAUUUGCUGAGAUAUAAUAUAUAUAUUGGGAAGGGCUACCGUGAGAGCACCUCUUAAAAUAAGAAAUAAAAAUUAAAAAAAAUGUAUAAAUUUUAUGUAGAACACGUAUGAAUUCGCUGUAUAAAGGUAUGAAUUGCGAAAAAUAAAUUUUUGCUAUCUUUGAGAUUCGAACUCAGGACCAUAAAUUCAUCCAACAGGAUGAUGAAUCAACCGUAGAUCCUGAUGAUCUAAAGACUGAAAAUGAUGAUUCUUAUUUUAUAUUUUAAAAAAUGUACUUAUUUUAGUCAUUCCUCGUACAUAGUAGGGGGAGUUCGAGGAUUUUUUAGGACAGUAAUUUAGAUUGAUUUGGAAAUUAGUACAAUAACUUUCGAACUUGUAAAAAUAGGACACUGAUUUUUUUUAGAGUAAAAUAGGACACUAAUUAAUAAGUGUUGCAUCCGCAGGACAUUUUUUAGCCAAUUAUCGGCUGAGAAAUGUCCUAUUUUUACGACACUUAUUAAUUAGUGUCCUAUUUUACUCUAAAAAAAUAAUUAAUGUCCUAUUUUUACAACUUCGAAAGUAGGGGUAUGUAUUAAUAUAAGUUCAACUCGUGGAAUAUUUUAUUCGAAAAGAAAAGGUAAGCAAGUUUUUCAUUCUAAAAAUUAUCUAGAAAUUACUUAUCUCACGUUUCGUUAUAUUAUACUCGUUUAUGCGUACUUGUUCAGCAAAAAUCACGUCAUCAAAAUAGAUAUUUCUAACACCACAUUUUCUGGUCAACAAAUAAUCACCAAACCAUGCAUAUAUAUAAUUAAUUACAUGUGAUCGAUGACAGUCCAUUUAGAAUAUAGACUUGCAAAUUAACACACCAACGCCUCUUAUUAUAAAUCUAAUACCUUUGUGCACAUCAAUUUAGCAUGAAUAUAUAUAAAAAAGAGCGCAUUACGUUGAAAUUAAAUUAAAGUAAGAAGCUCAAACCUUGUGUAGAGCAAGGGUACAAGUAACCUGGUUGACCAUUUAUGAGAAAAGCAUCAGAAUUAUUAGGCUCUCCUCCAUUUUCAAGAAAUUCACUAAGAACAGCUUGAACAUCACUUUUCCACCACUCCCCUACAAUUAAAACACAAAAUUUCUUUUAAAUUAUCUUAGUAUACAUAUACAUACAAACAUACUUAAAAGUACCUAAUAUAAUUGGGAUUUGUGCGUAGGGCACAUGAUAAGGAUAAUCAUCCUUCUUCUUGGGAUAUAUAAUCACUGCUCCAUGCACCGUAGCCCUUGACCAGUCACUGUGUGCGUGCCACCAAAGAGUCCCGAUCUCGUCAGAGAAUUCGAUCUUCUGACUGAAAUUAGUCCCCGGUCGAAUCGGGCAUUGAGUUAUGUAUUCAGGGCCGUCGGACCACGGAUAUCUUGGUUGCUUCACCCCAUGCCUACCAAUAACACCAAACCAACUUAGGGUUUCUUUUUUGUGCAAAAGAUGUUAGUGGGACUUUACCAGUGAAUGGUUAUGUUUUGUGUUGCUUUGUUGGCGACUACUACGACAAUGGUGUCUCCCUCAGUGACAUAUAUAGUUGGCCCCGGAAAUUGCCCAUUUACAGUCAGUAUAGUCUUGUUGCUGCACAACCUAUUGUAUGGUGUUUCCACCACCUGCAACACCAAUAAAUUAAUCUUGUGGAUGAUCGAUGAUGCAACUAUAUAUAUAUGUGAUCAAGCUAAGGAACUUACGUCGAAGUUAUAGUGAUGAUGAGUCAUAGCAUAGCUAUAAAUCACCUCACUAUGUAAGAGAAAAACUGCUGAGAAUUGCAAGAUCAACGUCUUGGUAGUUCCCAUCUUCUCACUUAAUUAGUAACAAGAAAAUAAAAUGAAUUCCCUUUCAAAAAAGCACAACAAGAGAAAAGAAUUACUGUUACUUCAAUGAAUAAGUAUUCAUAUUUUCAAAUUUUCUAUCUUUAAUUCUCUCUCUAUAUAUAUAGGUAUGUAUGUUGUAGAAGGUUCAAUGGAGGUGGUGGGAAAAAUGAAAAUUUGAUUUGGUCGUGAUCGUUCAUAUUGGACAUAUUGAUUUUGGAAGAUUUUUAUCAAAAUCUUGGAAAUAUUAGGUCAUCUUUCACAAAUGGUGGACGCUAAUUAUUGGUUGUUUAUUAACUUUCAGUUCAUGAAAACUGCUAUUGAUGGAGAUUGUUUAGAAAACAAAAACUUAAUCGUAAACAUAGAGAUAUUGUACUUUGAGAAACGAAAAUUAGAUACAAAAUGAAAAUAAAGAAAUGUAAAUGUUUAUGUCCCAUGCAUCAUUUUAUGUGUCCACGUCGGCUUUCCACGUCAGAGCUCGACUACACACGUCAGAAAAAAAAAAUGGGACACAAUUUAAGUAAGAUUUUUAAAAAAUGGUUGACAAUUUUUUAUAAUUAUCUUUAAAGUAAGAUAUUUCUGAGAAAACACAAAACGAUGAAAUACAAACAGAUAUUUAACGAAUGGGUAAUUAUAAAAAAUCAUGCGGUUUUAAUUAAUUACUUCUUUAUUAAGACGUAUCGCCACUUCAUUCAUUAAUUUGAAAUUCGAGAACAUAUAUAUAUAUAUAUAAUAUAUUAGGUCGGUUGCUUGCACUCUUUGCCGUAAUUAGGUUUGAUUUAAUAUUAUUCUUUUCUGUGGGAAUUUGGAGUUUGAAAUUGAUAAGCAAAUAUAGUGCAAUAAGUCUUUCUUAUUACAGCACUUAAAUGAUUUACACAAAAUCUCCUCUACACUUAAAUGAUUGUACGUCUGAAUUGAUCCGUACUCAAAUUUUGACCCGCAUGUUAAUCCAAAUUCGCAUUUUAAUUCAAAUCAUGUAAAUGACACUACUCGGUUAUAUAAAUGACAAUGUAACAUUUUAAAAUGUUAUAGUGUCAUUUUCAAUCUUAUAUAUAUAGUGUUAUUUAAAAUAUUAUAGUGUCAUUUAUAUUUUUGAAUAGUAUCAAUUAUACACAGUGUUAUGUUAUAGUGUCAUUUAUACGCAGUGUCAUUUGUAUAAUCGAAUAGUGUCAUUUACACGAUUUGAGUCAGGAUGCGAAUUAGGAUUUGGGUACGGAUCAACCGGGUGUACGGUACACCUGAGUGUAUCAAGACCACCUCAAUGAUUUAUUGGAUUAAUUGCUUCGUUUAAUUAUUUUAUUUAGUUUCUACCAAUCUUCGCCACACUAAAAAAAUAAUAUGAGGUUUGGUAGCUAUUAUGUAUGUCAUAAAAAUUAGUGAUAUUUGAUGAUGUAGCUAAUCACUAAUAGUUAUACUUUCAAAUGCUACUAAUUUUUAAUUAUGACAUGAAUAUUAUUUUUAAUAUUGACAUAAAAAUUAAUUAUCAAGGCUUAUGUCACUGAUAGAAAAAAAAUUUGUAGUGCCAAGUCGUUUGAUUAUAAUGGGAAUUGCAUCAUCAUAUUCUAGCCAAUUAGUAGCGAUAGUCCAACUAUAUAUGUUUCUUCUAGUUCUUUUCUUAAAUUCUUUAUUAUGGUUAAAAUAUUUUCAAAAUACUUGCUUACUACUUAAUUUAGGCAUGUUCCAUAGUCGAAGAAAAGUCAAUUAAAUAUUUUUCUCUUCUUUCUUCCCCCCUAAAGUCAAGGUCAUGACUUUUUUUUUUUCCUUUGAGUAAAUAUAUAACCAAGCCCAUGCAAGAAUAAAUAUGCACUAAUUAAAAUGACACCACGUUUAAUUAACUUAUAUAUGGAGUAGAUGAAUAUUUUUCCAUCAGAACAAAAUUACUACUACGUUUUUUUAACCAAAUCAAAUGAAACUAAUUAAUUUUAGAUAUAGUCACCUUAUUUUUCUCCAAACCUAAAAGCCAAUACGGUAAUUGAUUUUAUUUUUUUAGUUAAUUGGUGAUCAUCCAAGGAAGCGUUGGUUUAAUUAAUUAGUGGAUGUGAUUAGAGAUGUCCAAAUUAAUUGAAAUUAAUUGGUGGUUCCAGCCCGAAAUGGAAUUGGCGGUCAACAAUUCGGGCUCGGAACUGUUGACUAUGGGCCAGUUCAAAAUAGGAACUGUUGAAAUAAAUAACUGAAAUAAAUAAGAGUCGAGAGUUUUGGAAUCGUAAACCGACUGUUUAUAGCGUUUGGGUUAACCUUCAAACCGUUGGUUAACUGUUGAUUUAUAAUAUAUAGAUUUAUAAUUUUAGACUUAGACUUAUAUUUUGUAGUAUAAUUAUAGAAAGAAUGUAAAGUGUAAAGACUAUAUUUUAUUUUUAUUUUACUUAUUAAAUUUUGUAGUUUGAAGAUUGUAAUUUGUACAUAUUUACUUUGAGUAAUAAUACGAAUUUUGUUAUAGUUGAAUGUUAUAAUUAAUUUUAUUUCUGUUAUAAUCUUCAACAAUUAAAUUCAAUGUAAUGUUGUAAAUUAAUUAUAUAAUUAAAUAUAAAGGAAAAAUAUACACAACACUCAAACUAAAAAAAAAAAAUUAAAAAUCGUCGGGCCAAAAAAUCGAUGGUUCGAAUCAAACCAUAAACCGCCGAUUUCGAGCAUGACCUAAACUUUCUUCAUACUCAAACAGGCCGAUUACGGCUCACCCUAUUAGUGAACCGAAAAUCAUCGAUUUUGGAUCUGACCCAAACCUUCUUCAUACUCAGACAGACCAGUUACGGUUCAUCUUAUUGAUGAACCAAAAAAAAUCAAAAAAUUGUUGAUUCGAGCCCGAAAAUUAGCGGUUUAAUCCAGAACAAGAACCGCCGAUUUCGAGCUCGACCUCAAACGUUCUCCAUACUCAGGCAAGCUGGUUACAGUUCACCCUAUUGGUGAACGUUGAACCAUCAGUUCCCUUGUUCAUGGGCAACACUAGAUGUGAUAAUAAGAUUGAUAGGAUUAGAGCAUAAUUAUACAAUCAAUUUAAUUUUGGGAUGAUAAAUAAUUAUUCAAUUUGAUAUAUUAUUAAAAUGCAGAUCAAAUUAUCCAUCACGAACUGAAUCAUAUAUAAAUCAAACAAAUUGAUUAAAUUCAAUUAUUUUGUCAACAUAUCUUAUUACUCAAACGAAAUGCUUGUUAAUUUCCUAAUAGAUUUUGCUUCAUCAAUACCUGUCAAUGGGUGAAAAUGAAAUAAGAUUACGUUCAUCUACACUUUGCCACCACUAUUACAAGGCGGAGUUAUUAAAAAUGAAAUUAUCAACCGAACUUACAGGAUCUUUGGUCAGCUUAUAAGUUGUUUAGAAAUUUAUAAGCUUAUUCAAAGUAUUUGAUAAAAUAAAUUUUUAAACAAUUUAUAAGCUUUAAGAACUUAUAAACUUCUAAAAAAUAAGCUAUCUACCCCAACUUAUUUUUUCAUAACUAUAAUUAAUUAUUUUCAUUAUAUACCCUUUCAAGUUCAAUCUUCUUCAAUUUUUUCCCUCUAACAAAGAUUUUCUCUAUCUAACAUAUAAGCUCAAUUAUUCAAAUACUUUAACAAGUUAUAAGCUCUUGAAUCUUAAAACAUCUUAUAAGUUGGAACUUAUAAGAGUUUAUAAGCUCAUUAAAAUAAACUUUACAAACCUCUAUUAGUCUUCUAGAAUUCAUAUGUUAUAUACACAUAGACUCCUACUAAUAAAUAUUCCCACCGUCCACAAAAAAUAGUUUAUUUUGUUAUUUUUAGAUGUCCAACAAAAUUAGUCUCUUUCUAUUUUUUAAAAUUAUUUAUUACAUAGUAGGCCCAUAUUUUUCACUAGCAAUAUAACUAAUUAUCAUUAUAAAUAUCAUUUUUUAAAUGGAAUCAUUUCUCUAUUUAUAAUAAAAUAAUUAUUUUUAUUAAAAUUCGCAUCGUUGCUUAUUAAGAUUAUUUUUUGUGGACGAAUGGAGUAAUGAAAAUAUACCUAAGACCAGAUAAUUAUAAUUCUUAAAAGAGCUACCAUUUCACGUCACUUCGACGUAAGUCAUAAGGGUACAUGAAUGAUUAACCCAUCGCGAAGCACCACUUAAGCUUCAACUACAAGAAAUAGAUAUUCGCCAAAAGAGGCGCACGCUAAUUUAUGUACGUGGAUGCACGUCCUAAUUAUAUUUGAGUUUUGAUUAAAAAAAUAAAAAAUUAAAUCUAAUUGAAAAAUAGCUUCAAUUUAAUUAAAAGUCUAAUUAACCUUUACUUAAUAAUUAUUUUAUUAUAACCUUUGGUGGGGUGGGCAUAAAUAUCAAAAUAUGACCUAAACCAUACUGUCUUCUUCUUUUUCCAAAAAAGACACGGAUAUUUUAUGUUAUACAGUGAGCGUCCGAUUUGAUAAAUGAAGGGACAAGAUUGAUUCNNNNNNNNNNNNNNNNNNNNNNNNNNNNNNNNNNNNNNNNNNNNNNNNNNNNNNNNNNNNNNNNNNNNNNNNNNNNNNNNNNNNNNNNNNNNNNNNNNNNNNNNNNNNNNNNNNNNNNNNNNNNNNNNNNNNNNNNNNNNNNNNNNNNNNNNNNNNNNNNNNNNNNNNNNNNNNNNNNNNNNNNNNNNNNNNNNNNNNNNNNNNNNNNNNNNNNNNNNNNNNNNNNNNNNNNNNNNNNNNNNNNNNNNNNNNNNNNNNNNNNNNNNNNNNNNNNNNNNNNNNNNNNNNNNNNNNNNNNNNNNNNNNNNNNNNNNNNNNNNNNNNNNNNNNNNNNNNNNNNNNNNNNNNNNNNNNNNNNNNNNNNNNNNNNNNNNNNNNNNNNNNNNNNNNNNNNNAUACUGAUGAAAAAUAAAAUUUAAAAAAUUCGUAAUGAAUAAGACAUAUAUACUGAUGAACAUGGCAGUAUAUACUGAUGAACAAUGCAGUUUAUACUGAUGAAUAACAAAAUUUAAAAUAUUCUGCUCCCUCCAGGAUUCGAACCCUGGGAAAAAAAUCAUCAUCCAGAUACAAUAUCAGUCAUAGACUUAUAGGAUUGGUAAAAUAAACGCACCAGAUCGUGCCCUAGGUCUCACUAAAAUUAGGGGGUCUCAGUAGAGCGGCCCCCUACAUAUAUAUAUAUAUGCAAAAAAAAUGUCAUUACAAAAAAAAAACUUUGGAAUAAUUUAAUUUGAUAUUACUUAUAUUUCUCUUAAAUUUUUGUCAAACUUGAAUAUCAAGUUAUGGCCCAAAUCUUUAGAAUUACACAUCUCCAAAAUUUGGGUGGGGCGUAACCAUGUUAAGUAAUUGGUCGUAUUUUAAAACUAAUAUUGCUUAGUUUGGCCCAAAGAAUACUGGACCCAACACAGAUUAGGCUAGCUGUGUCUGACCCAUAUCUUACGCGAUCGGGCUAUUCAACCCGUCAAUUGGCCCCAACACGUAAUUGAAAAUAUAUAUACUCCAUAUGGGGAUCAAAUCCUCUACAUCCCUUCUUAUGAUAGUAUAGAUUUAAAUUUGGACUAUACAUUUUAUUUACAUAUAGUAUAUUAUUACAUACAUAACACGAGACUAACUCUCAUUUUUUUCUGAACUCAACUCUCUAACCCUGUAUUCGUGGAGUUGCACUUGCUAUUUUUUUUUACCUAAAACUGAUUUAUUUUGUUCUCAAAUCUCUUGCCAUCCUUUUCUUUUAUUAAAAAAAAAUGAAUACAUUCUCCCAAAGCCCGAAGAAUAAGUGGGCUAAAUGAAAAAUACAUUUUUUAUGGGUCAUGGAGAUAUAAAAAAAACUAUAAAAAUAAUAUUUUAACAUAUAGUAAUACCUAAUACUAUUAAAAACAAAAAAAUUAGGGGUACAUGGGGUACAGCUGUACCCCCAACGCCCCACUAUAUACGCAUUCAUCAAUGGCAAUACAUAUUUGUAUGCAAUAUUAUGUAUACAAAUAUUUGAAUUUAUGCAUANCAUAUUUGUAUGCAAUAUUAUGUAUACAAAUAUUUGAAUUUAUGCAUAUUUGUGUUCAAUUAUAUACAUAAUUAAGGCAGUGAGCAACGAUAAGAGGCACCUGAUGAAUCGUCUAGUGCAAUGCAUAUUUGUGUGCAACGUUAUGUAUAUAUAGAUCAAAAUCUAGACCACACAUUUUGUUUAUGUGGCGCACUAAUAACACAACACGUGGCAGAAGCCUUCCAAAUUAAAAUACACGCAGAGGUAAAUUAGAAAAAAAAAAUCGCUCGGUGGCCGGGCUGAUUACAACGUAAAUAUGCAUAUAGUUACAAAUAUGCAAUUGUUACAUACAAAUAUAUAUGAUGUUGCCACAUGAAUAAUUAUUAAUGUAUUACAUAACGGACGUUUAGUGCAAUGUUAUAUAUAUGUGUGUUUAUAUAUAUGCAUAUUUGUAUUCAAUUAUAUGCAUAGUCAAGGCGGCGAAAAGCACUUGACGAAUCGUCUAAUGCAAUGAAUAUUUGUGUGCAACGUUAUACAUAUAUGUGUUUAUAUAUAUGCAUAUUUAUGUUCAAUUUUAUGCACAAUUAUAUAUGUAUAUUAUGAUAAUUAGGUAUGCGAAUGAUACUAGUAUUAUUGGCAUUUCUAGCUAGUAUUUUCAUGAAGUAGUUAUUUUAUAUGAACGACUCCCGUAGCACAACUUUUGAGAAGAAGUACACGAAUUAAAUUUGUAUUAAUUAAAUAAAACUUUUGUAUGCAUUUCGAUGUUUAUAACAUAAGAAUACCUAGAUUUUUCCUUAAUGGGCUCACACUCGACUAUGGACCUAUAAACAUCACAGUAUUCAUUUAAAACAAUUUUUUUUUAAAUUAGAAGUAUUCAUUUAGAUCAAUUGUUGAUCAACACUAUUACUAAUAUCAUAUGUAUAUGUAUCAGAUUAUGAUUUCAAACUCAAUACACCACCAUAAUAAUAAAAUCUCAACUAUAUUUAUUUCAUGUAUAAAAGUAUAUCGAACAUAAACACACACAAUAUUAAUGUUCCCCAAUUAUGUUCUCAGUUCACCCCCGAUGUGUCCUGUAAUUUAUAACCUUAAUUCACUCAUAAAAAAANAUCUAGGAAAAAAUCAAAUAUUUUUCUAAUUUGAUUACAGAAAUAAUUUUGAAACAUUUAUUUCCCUCCACACCACCUAUCUCUAAAUCAUGGAUGUAUAUAAUAUUAUUGUAUAACCGUGACGCGGAAAAUUUCCUUGAAUUUGAUCAGCACAUAGGGAAAUCCGACGGUGGAGGAAGCAUCGUUUCGUUCGUGCCUUUCCCAUUUCUAGUAAUAAACACCAUCUCCAUUCCCCAGCUUAUAUGUCUCUCGAAAUGGCAAUGCAUUAGCCAAACCCCUACAAAAAUCACACAAAAAUUUAAACCAGUUUCAAUAAAAGUUCAACUACAGUUUGACCGGUCAACGAAAAACUACAUUGGUGUACUAGUAAGUAGAUAGAAAUUUUGAGUGUAGUUUGACCGGUCAAUGAAAACGGUUUUUCAUUGACCGAUCAAUUAAACAGUCGUGUUUUCUUAUUACCUGGAUUAUUUGCUUGGAAUCUAAUCGCGGUCCAACCGGCUCUAGGCACCGCGAUGGUGUUCUGAAGCGGGGGUCGACGAGAUUGUAGUUCGGUGGGUCCCGAGUGCUGUUGAAAUUCCCAAAUCCCCAUCCUACAACAUAGAAGCUGUGGCCAUGCAGAUGCAUGGGAUGAUCAAUCGGCGCGUCUACCGUACUAGUUCCUUGAAAGACGAGCUCCACCGUGGAGUUAUAGUCGAGCACCCUCACCCUCGUCCCAUUCCGCGGCUCCCACAGGUCCUGCGGGACGUCCGAGGUGUAGUUGAACGGAAACGGGGGGUUGCUCGGGAAAUUCGCGGUGUAGACGCCGCUGAUCCGCUCGUAGUAGGCCUGCAGGAUCGCAAUCCGCGGCGACUGAAACGUGAUGUUGUUGACGCUCGCGAGGAGGCGGUUGCCCUGCGGCCCGCCGCAGUCCGCGUUGGGGCAGUUUCUGGUGUUGAUGGAGAGGGUGAAGAGGAGAUUCGUCGUCACGUUCAACGGCACUUGGAUUGGGUGGUUUUUGUAGGCGAGGCUGCGGAGUCGGGCGGUGAAGUUCACUGAUGCGGCCGUGUCGGUGAAAUCGGGGAGGGUUGGGAGCAGUGGGGACGCCGGCGGGGUGUAGUUUCCGGAGUACUCGACGCGGGCGCUGGUGGUGGUGUUGUCGAAAUCUCCGGCGACGGCGUAGGCUCUAGAGGCCAUGUAGUAGUGGCUAGGGUUUUGGUCGGCGAGGAGGAGGAAGUCGAUGGUUUGGCCCGGGGAGAUGGCGAUGUAGUCGGAGGUGAAGGGCUUCAGGUACGCGCCGUCGGAGCCGACGAUGGUGACGUUGUGGCCGGCGAUUUUGAAGAACAUGAUGGUGUUCAUCACGGCGUUAACCAUUCGAAUUAG
This 10973-nucleotide long non-coding RNA is filed under the name Salvia miltiorrhiza (redroot sage). RNAcentral's name for it is "long non-coding RNA (SMIL_LNC008002)". Lineage: Eukaryota; Viridiplantae; Streptophyta; Magnoliopsida; Lamiales; Lamiaceae. The record is from RNAcentral.